This 1486-nucleotide long non-coding RNA is filed under the name Heterocephalus glaber (naked mole-rat). Its description in RNAcentral is "lncRNA (ENSHGLG00000040186.1)". The record is from RNAcentral. Lineage: Eukaryota; Metazoa; Chordata; Mammalia; Rodentia; Bathyergidae.
GCUGGGGACCUUGAAAGCUCACAGAGAGGGCAGCCAGGCUCUGCAGUCACCACCUGGGAACAGAGGUCAAAAGACCUGCAGACCCACAACUUUGCCAGGUUCUCAGCGGCAGGAUGCUCUCCUGGACAGGAGCAGGAGGGCAGGGUGCCAUCCUGGAUGUCUAGCGGAGAAGAGGAUGCCAUUUUGGCUAUGGGGGCAGGUUGCUGUCCAGGGUGUGGAGGAGGGCCUGGCUGGCACACUGUUUCCUGUCCAGGCUCCCAAGCAUGAGGUGCAAGCAAUGGCAUCACUGUGGCCCUGCAUGACCACCAGUGUCACUUGGGCAGAAACACAGGAUUUGUCUGCACCCUGGACCGCCCACUCCUCAAGCCACCAGUGCUGACUGCCACUGCCCAGGUCCACCUUGCUGUGCACACCCAGCCCUCAGCCAGUGCCCAUGUAGAGCGCAAGGACAGAGGAGACGUGGCUUCUCUGCACAAGGGUCAUGCUCAGCCUGUAAGAGGAGGAAACUCUAAGAUACCCAGGACUAACCCUGACCAAGGAGGAAGAGAACUCCACAAUGAAGAUGACAGAUUGCUUUCUCAAGGGGCAGUGGAGAACUCAGUCCUGCACUCUGGCAGAGAAGACAGGCAGCACUCCAGACAACAGACAGCAGGAAGGACAAGAAGGGAGCUCUUCGGCCUGGAGAACCGCGUGCUGGCUGAAAAGGAUGUCAACCCAUACCUGCACUGUCCAUGUUUGGGAGGCAGGUAACUUACUUUCCAGAGAGAGACACCCUAUGAAGACACAGCCCAGCAACAGGCAGUGUGGAGAUGGAGGCAGAUGCUAGAACGAUGACAAUCUCUCAGGAUGGUGGGUGACAUCAGAAUGGGGAGAAGGACCUGCCUGGGUUCAUCCCCACAGCCUCCUGGGGCACAACCUGCCAACACCCUCAUUUCACACGAGUGCCCCCCAGGACUGGGCGGGGAUCUACUUCUGUCAAUUAAGCCUCCUGGUCCAUGGUGAUUUUUUACAGCAGCUCGAGAGAACUAAUACAGCUAUCUCGGAUAUUUCAGCUUGGUUCAUCUUCCACACUCAACGAAUAUUCCUCAGUAUUACACAGGAUUCCCUGUACUUCGUGACACCGAAUAGUGCGAUGUCAUCAUGACACUUGGCUGCCCCUUGCUUUGACCAACCUGUAUUCCCUGGCCACAAAACCCAGGCACCCCUGCCCCAGCUGCUGCAUUCUGACAGACUCCUCCCCGUGCUGACCUGGCUCCUGGGCCUCAGCCUGUCACAGCUUCUCCUACCCUGAUGGACAUCUGUCAUUUGGCUCUUCUCACCCAGCAUCUGCAGUCCUUCCUCCCCUUUGAGAAGUAUCCAGAUCCAGCUCCAGACAGUCGACCGAGCAAACACAAGCCAAGCAGCCUGCUGGCCCCGGGAAAGCUGGUGGCUCUGUCCUUCCUGUGUACGUCAUGCCACACCUCUUCCAGAAGCAGCAGUGGGCGGA